GACCGCCGGUGAGAGCCGGCCAAGGCCAUACGGACAGCCGGGUCGAAUGCCGA
This 53-nucleotide small RNA is filed under the name uncultured Faecousia sp. RNAcentral describes it as "Streptococcus sRNA SpF59 (ldcC RNA)". It matches the Rfam family "Streptococcus sRNA SpF59 (ldcC RNA)". Lineage: Bacteria; Bacillati; Bacillota; Clostridia; Eubacteriales; Oscillospiraceae. The record is from RNAcentral.